UAUCGACGUCGCGCUAAUCACUGUUUAUCGUCGCUCGUUUACUCUUGCGCCGUAUCGCCGCGUUAUACUUUUUCCGCGCCACGAGCAGCGUCGCUUUUUUAUAGAUAAUUACCGCGAUCUCGUAGACCGCCUACGACGACCGACUCACCGGCUUGCGGAGGAAGCGGGCUCGGUUCGCUCUUCUGGUUUUUCUGGUUCUUCUGGAAGACGUCGGAAUCGAUCGUCGGCGGCGCGGACACGUCCGUCGGCUCCUGCUUAGCUUCCUGCUCGUCUGGAUCGGUGAACACGCUGUCGCUCGACGAUUCCUGGCUAGGCGGUGCCGAGAUCUCCGACACGAUCACCGCCUUAUUAGCCAACCGCCAGGAAUCGGUCACCAGAACCACCGGCCCCUGUCUCUGACCCGGCAAAGACACCGGCACCAACAGGCUGUUCGUCAGGUCGGCCUCCGUCGCAUCGACCUUGCCCACCGAUCCCCGGUGCUCGUCUUCCCCGUUCACCAGCUCCCGCUGGAUCUCGAUCGACUUGUCAGGAAUCUCGGGCGCGACCUGUUCGAAUCGACAAGUCCACCGGUAGAAUGUGAAACGGCCGCGAAUCGGUCUUUCUUUCAAUGGGCGAUACGACACGCGUGCGAGAUCCGAAAGCGAUAGGUCACGUUGCGAAGAAACGCGACGACGCGAAAUCAUUGUACAAAUUGCUCGGAUAUUUUCGAGCGAACCGAUUCGUCGCGUUCCUUUCGGUUAUUCCCGAUCGGUCGCCUUUAAUCUCGGCAGCCUCCCGUGACCUAUUGACCCCCAUACGCGCCCCGCGGAAAUGGUUGCGCGAAAUAUGCAACGGCCGCGCGCGUUACGUUCCACUUCGACUUCGGAUCAUUUUGCAAUUCCCGUCGCGAAUUCGACUGAACGUUGCAUGCCGGCGGGACGGGGUUAACCCUGGCUCUUCUAUCGUCUUAAAACUUUGUACGAUUUCUACGAUAAUGUAAGCUCGACUAAAGAACUCGAUCCGACAACCUCUCAUAAAAACAUUAUUGCGGGAUCGUAGAAAUUGCGAAGCGAACGAUCGCAGACCAUUUCGUUUAAACCGAUGCUCGGUUGUUCGUUCCCAGCGUUGAACGAAGGUGUCAGAAAAUGGGCGAUUCAUUGUGCAAGGAUCGGGGAGAGCGUUCGUUACGUUGCGGAGAAAAAUACUUGGAUAGAACCGAGAUCCGCGCGGCACGCGUUCCAUAAACCGUGUCCAGGUGAAUUUUAAAUUGUAAUAUACCGGGAGCAGAGUUCGAGAAGCAAAAGCGAACCCUGACCUUUCUCACGGCGGAUCCAGGUGGCUUGGGAGCCUGCCGCUUGCCAUGAUAAGGAGCCCUCGGUUUCUCGAACUUCUCGAACUUCUGGAUGUUCUGAAGGCUCUCUUCCGGUUUGGCCGGAGCUGCUUUUCUGACGGGCGUCUCCUCAGCGUCCUCGGUCUCGCCGUCGUCCCCCGUGUCGGUGGUGUCCCCGAGGCCGUCGACGGAGCCAUGGACGCUGGCCGUCCCUUCGGCGGUCCUGCCACCCUUCUUGGUCUUCUUCUUGGCGUCGCUCUGCAGGUUGCCCAUGUCCGGAGCGACCGGGACCUCUGUCCCUGUACGGGCGGCGGCAGCGGCGGCGGGCUUCGACUGUUGUAGCGCAACUGCGGCGACCAGGUUCCCGGCAUAGAAGGCUCUGAACGUGUUGACACAGAGGCGGGCGAUGUCGCGCAGCGUUGGCCUGGUUUUCACCGGCGGAACGGCGUCUGCGCCCCCACCCUCGCCCUCGCCGUCCUCGUCGUCCUCCACCCUCGACUCCAUUCACGGUCGAUACGUCGCGGCGCCGGUGCCUCUCUUCCUCCGCGACGACGGUCCGAGGACGAUCCAGGAGGACACCGGUGAACCUAGAACGAGCCAGAAAUUUCGUUCUUCUAAUCUCGGAUUUUUUUCUGUCUCAGAUAACGAAGAAGCCAUAAUUUGAUCGGCCACGAUCGAGGCGAUUCGUAAACGGCUCUCUCGCACACCCAGCAAAUUGCACCGUAAACGACACCGUACAGAUAGCGCCGAGAUAAGCAAUCGAGAUAAACACUUGCUUCGAGCAUGUUACACCGCCGGCCAAACAAUGGACGCACGCCGACACGCUUCUUCCCGAUGACAAGUUACGCGCGCACACGCACUCGCACGCGUCUUUGAAAGUUUGCCUGCCCGGCAAGAUGAGUCCUACCUUCGUCGGUUGAUCCACCGAAUCGCUGCGUCCUGCUUGCUCCUGGUAGGCACUGCCGAAGGUCGACUUCUGGACAAGCCGAGACCCGAAUCGGCGAGUGUGUGUUUACGUUGACGUCGUUGCCUCUGUCUCUACGGCGACAGAAUCGACCGCUGGAUCUCUAUGGUGCGAGCGAGGACGAUUCCCAUCUACUUGUCUCGCACUGUUUCAGCUUCACCGGCCGCGCGAUAACAUCGUUGCUCUCUCGGUUUCAUGGUCUCGCUGUCGGAGGACACUGUUCUCCUGGAUACGUACUCGGAGAGCCGGUGCUAGCGGCAGGGUUUUCUAGGUCAUUUGGCUGGUUGCCACGCAUCCGACAAUCUCCGUCCAUCCUCCGUUCAACGAUCAACCGGCGCCGAUAGUCUCAACGGAAUCAGUUGUUUCUCGGUCGUCGAUGAGAGCACAUCGAUCGUGGAAAGAGGAGUGUCCCAGAUGUGUCGCGACCGAUUUUGCUCUUCCCACACGUUCACAUUUGAGAGGUUCCAUCGCGAAAGCCUCGAGUUUCUGACACUUUCACCGAGGAAGCGGCUGGACUCUCGCGCAAGCACUUCCGGUUCCGCGUGAACAAGCCUACGCCAUGUCUAGAAAUGUCUUGCGAUGCUCGAAAGGCCGGUAAAUGUUCGAGUGUACGGACUCGGGACGGGACUCGCGAUUACUAGAUGCGCGCAAACUCCGCGCUGGAAAACGCGACGCGAGCUGCGUAGAACGGUAGUCGAGGUUUACACAGCACAGGUGCAUCUUUAAGGAGCUUGGAAAUCAGUUAUUGUUACGCAAUCGCUAUUCCUGCAAUUAAUUCUGUACACGGAUCCCCUCAGAAGAACCAUUUAGGAAAAGUAGAAUCAGAGGAACGCUACAAACACAUAGGAAUUGGAAUUAGAUUAUGGCGAAGUGCAGGAAGAUGCUGCCAACACCGAAGACGGAGAGGAAUAUUAAUAAGUCACCGUCGGCUGAUUUCUAGCUAUCAAAAGACAUAUGCUGUUUCGCACGGUAUGAUGAAACAACGUCGGUGACACGAAAUUGGAUAUUUGACGGUGAAGCCGCCUAUCUGUACUCCAUUUUCACCACUCAGCAUUUCCAGUAUAAUUAUGAUACUACUAUGGUUACGAUCAUUACUAUAUACAAUAGCUACGAUGUAAUAAUUUUAAGUCAUAUGAAAUAAAAGUAUUUAAUAAACUA
Long non-coding RNA from Megalopta genalis, 3431 nucleotides. RefSeq lists it as uncharacterized. NCBI's taxonomy places the organism in Eukaryota, Metazoa, Arthropoda, Insecta, Hymenoptera, Halictidae. The record is from RefSeq and is a predicted model, not a curated record.